RNAcentral lists this long non-coding RNA (1586 nucleotides) under Homo sapiens (human). Its description in RNAcentral is "HSALNT0391256". The record is from RNAcentral. Lineage: Eukaryota; Metazoa; Chordata; Mammalia; Primates; Hominidae.
CAGAAAACAAGAAGCUGACCCAACAGGAAGUCUCCUGAUCUUGCCCAGUUUCCAGACCGAAGUCAUUUCUCAGUUACAGCAUCUACAGACAGAGAGUCCAGAGCCCCAUGAAGAAAGACUCUACCACAGUGUGUACGGUAAUUCUCCCUCCGACCUUCCUUAAAGGGACCUCCAGAAAUUACUCAGGUUUUGCCAUGUUGCCCAGGCUGGUCUCAAACUCCUGGCCCCAAGGGAUCCAUCCACCUUGUGUAAGACUGGAGCUGACAUCCAUCCAUCAGUCUUGUGUAAGACUGGAGCUGACAUUCACACCGUAGGCUGGGCCUCCCAGUUAUGACUGCUUUGCUGUCUCACUUACUGCAUGUUAUCCCAUCCUUCUGGAUGUGUGGCAAUCCUCGCCACGUGGCAAGGGCACAGCUGGCUAAACUGGCAGCUAUGCUUUGGAGCUCAUGACAGAUGUCUAUCGAGAGUAAAGAUGAGGAGAUUUAUUAGAAAACUAUCAAGAUUUUGGAGUGUGUUGGUCACUUUUGGAAGCCUUGAAAGGUCUUGCCUGACUCUCCCUCCCCAGGGUCAGAAGCAGAGCCCUAGAGAAAAGCCAGUGAGCCUAAGGGGGGCGGGUGUUAAUGGUAGAAACCCUCACAUCUGUGCCAGGCUCAGGUUCAGAGACCAACACACAAAAUGCUAUAGGCUUCUUAUACCUUCCCUAGAAAUUAAAGCCAAAAUGUCUAGCAACCCAAUCGGGUUUCAAGGAAGCUGAAGAACCUUGUAUUAGUAUGUUCUCACACUGCUAAUAAAGACAUACCUGAGACUGGGUAAUUUAUAAAGGAAAGAGGUUUGAUGGACUCACAGUUCCACAUGGCUGGGGAGGCCUCACAGUCAUGGCGGAAGGUGAAAGGCAUGCCUUACAUGGUGGCAGCAGGCAAAGAGAGAAUGAGAGCCAAGUACAAAGGGAAAGCCCUUAUAAAACCAUCAGAUCUCGUGAGACCUAUUCACUAACACGAGAACAGUAUGAGGGAAACCACCCCCAUGAUUUAAUUAUCUCCCACCAGGUCCCUCUCACAAUACAUGGGAAUUAAGGAAGCUACAAUUCAAGAUGAGAUUUGGAUGGGGACACAGCCAAACCAUAUCAAACAUUUACUAGGCCUGAGAAAAAGUGGCUUAUAUUUGCUGACUCCCUCAGGUGGGUCCUGAUCACGCAAGGUACCAACAACAGAGAAUGGGCUACCAAGCCUGAGCAAGCUUCAAAAGAGAAAAACCUCCUGAGUGCUGUUCUCACACAUGACCAUGGGAGGAAUAUGUAAGGCACAGACUUCUGGGGCUGCUAGAUGGGUUAACCAGGAUGCUCGUCCGCAUGCCUGGAUCGGGGACCUCCCAACUCUAUUCCUGUCUUUGACAUCAGAUCAAUGUGGGUAGAAAUUAACAAGUCUCCUUGCAAAAUAAAAUAUAUAUAUAUUUGAAAUUAAAACAUUAAAUCAUAAAUGAGUGUAAUUUAUUGAAAGAAUAGCACAAUACAAGGGAAUCUAUUAAUACGAUUUGAAAUAUUAAAAAAAUAAUCAAUCAUACAAUCCUCUCUUUGGUCCCUUAAAUAA